Molecule: ribosomal RNA, 253 nt
Filed under: uncultured bacterium
Lineage: Bacteria
Description: partial 16S ribosomal RNA
Rfam family: Bacterial small subunit ribosomal RNA
Source: RNAcentral
UACGGAGGGGGCGAGCGUUAUUCGGAAUUAUUGGGCGUAAAGGGCGCGUAGGCGGCUUGAUAAGUCAAAGGUGAAAUCCCUGGGCUCAACCCAGGAACUGCGUCCGAUACUGAAAGGCUUGAAUCCGGGAGAGGGAUGCGGAAUUCCAGGUGUAGCGGUGAAAUGCGCAGAUAUUAGGAGGAACACCGGUGGCGAAGGCGCCACUCUGGGCCGAAACUGACGCUGAGGAGCGAAAGCGUGGGGAGCGAACAGG